GUUAUUUUGCAAUUUUUUAAGAAUUUUUUGAUUUUUUCAAUUUUUUAUUAUUAUUUUUUAUUAUUUAUUGUCGUUUUUUCAAUUUUUAGUUAGUAACCUAUAAUAUUGUGUCUAAUUUUAAGUGUCAUUAAAAUCAAAUGUUUUUAACUUAAUAAUUUUAACAUUUCUUAAUUUAAAACGAAACAUCUUCUAUUAUAUUCAGUUAACAAAUUUCGAAAAACGACACCGACCCCGUGACCUCGACACUGUCCUUGAAAAAUCUAUUUUCAAUUAUUUUCAAAUAAAUCGAAAUACUUUGCAUAUAUGCUGUUAGAAAAUCUUACAAACUAUUUUUAUGUAACAUCUUUUUUCAAUUUUAACCCGAAAAAGGGUUAUUUUGCAAUUUUUUAAGAAUUUUUUGAUUUUUUCAAUUUUUUAUUAUUAUUUUUUAUUAUUUAUUGUCGUUUUUUCAAUUUUUAGUUAGUAACCUAUAAUAUUGUGUCUAAUUUUAAGUGUCAUUAAAAUCAAAUGUUUUUAACUUAAUAAUUUUAACAUUUCUUAAUUUAAAACGAAACAUCUUCUAUUAUAUUCAGUUAACAAAUUUCGAAAAACGACACCGACCCCGUGACCUCGACACUGUCCUUGAAAAAUCUAUUUUCAAUUAUUUUCAAAUAAAUCGAAAUACUUUGCAUAUAUGCUGUUAGAAAAUCUUACAAACUAUUUUUAUGUAACAUCUUUUUUCAAUUUUAACCCAAAAAGGGGUUAUUUUUCAAUUUUAACCCGAAAAAGGGUUAUUUUGCAAUUUUUUAAGAAUUUUUUGAUUUUUUUAAUUUUUUAUUAUUAUAUUUUAUUAUUUAUUGUUGUUUUAUCAAUUCUGAGUUAGUAAC
Molecule: long non-coding RNA, 866 nt
Organism: Leptopilina boulardi
Lineage: Eukaryota; Metazoa; Arthropoda; Insecta; Hymenoptera; Figitidae
Exons: 4
Source: RefSeq, a predicted model, not a curated record